RNAcentral lists this long non-coding RNA (273 nucleotides) under Sorghum bicolor (sorghum). Its description in RNAcentral is "long non-coding RNA (SBIC_LNC001467)". The record is from RNAcentral. Lineage: Eukaryota; Viridiplantae; Streptophyta; Magnoliopsida; Poales; Poaceae.
GUGACUGAAUUGGGGAAGCAUGUAGUGGGGGUUUGGGUGGACGUGCGAAGAAGGAACAGGGAAUGGGUGAGGAUCAGGAGGGAUGGGAGGUGGAUGAACAGUAUAUGGAUGAGGUUGAUUGGGCGAUGGGUGGGGAAUUGGGUUAAGCCGAGGAAGAACGGAUAGAGGAGGAUGGAGGCGAGACAUACUAUGGGUCAAGGGUGGGGCUACAGUCGUGACCGACCCAUACCCCUGUUCGCAGUGCCCACUGGGCCAGUCGGCUCCUUCGCCGGC